Long non-coding RNA from Patella vulgata (common limpet), 859 nucleotides. RefSeq lists it as uncharacterized. NCBI's taxonomy places the organism in Eukaryota, Metazoa, Mollusca, Gastropoda, Patellidae. The record is from RefSeq and is a predicted model, not a curated record. The transcript is spliced from 5 exons.
CACGUGACGUGCACGCCCCACUGGCUGACAGUGAACACAUAUAAGUAGUGCGAUUACGACACUGUAUUAUUCAAACGGAUUCUUUGUCACUCUAACGAUUCUUCUUCCAUUAGUAUUUUCAAAUAUCACAGAAACUACCAAGAUGUCAUCGAAAACGAUUUAUCCAGAGCCUCUAUACACGUCACUUCCGCCCUUGCCGUACAUAUCAUCACCCGGGAGCCUAGGGUUGUAUUCACCCCUUACACCACUAAACAGAAUAGCCGCCAUGUCAACUUAUUUCUCGUUCAACCAGUACGGUCUAAACAGUUUGGGUUAUGCAUCUAUGUGCGAUUAUCCAGACAGUAGUAGUUGUUCAUCGUCACCGUCCUCUUGGUCGCCGCCGUCACAUCGUUCAGCGUUUACUUCUAUGAAGCCAUGGAGUCCCAGCUACGACCUAGGAAGAGACAGAGUCGACAGUGAACCCGACUCACCUGAAGAGAAACCCAAGCCAAAGAAAAAAUUUGAUUUCUCACGAUUGGCUGAAUCCGCUACACGUGACGAUGAAGAAACGCCCAUUCCUGGAAAGGAAUCUGUCAGUCAAGAUGCCCAGGUGUAUAGCCACACCCUCACCUUGUAUCAGAACAAUAUCAGGUACAGCAGCAUUUUCAGUGGAAUGAGGCUACCCAUCACCCAAAGUUCACCGGUAGAGGGCGACAAGUUCAAAAUAAAAAGACCAAGAAGAGCCAAGAAAGAGUUUAUUUGUAAAUAUUGUCAACGUCAAUUCACCAAAUCGUACAAUUUAUUGAUACAUGAAAGAACUCACACUGAUGAACGACCCUACCCUUGUGAGAUAUGCGGCAAGGCUUUCAGAAGACAGGAC